Molecule: ribosomal RNA, 517 nt
Filed under: uncultured fungus
Lineage: Eukaryota; Fungi
Description: SSU rRNA
Rfam family: Eukaryotic small subunit ribosomal RNA
Source: RNAcentral
AUAAAAAACCAACGCCCUUCGGGGCUCCUUGGUGAAUCAUAAUAACUAAGCGAAUCGCAUGGCCUUGCGCCGGCGAUGGUUCAUUCAAAUUUCUGCCCUAUCAACUUUCGAUGGUAAGAUAGUGGCUUACCAUGGUGGCAACGGGUAACGGGGAAUUAGGGUUCGAUUCCGGAGGGGGAGCCUGAGAAACGGCUACCACAUCCAAGGAAGGCAGCAGGCGCGCAAAUUACCCAAUCCCGACACGGGGAGGUAGUGACAAUAAAUACUGAUACGGGGCUCUUUUGGGUCUCGUAAUUGGAAUGAGUACAAUCUAAAUCCCUUAACGAGGAACAAUUGGAGGGCAAGUCUGGUGCCAGCAGCCGCGGUAAUUCCAGCUCCAAUAGCGUAUAUUAAAGUUGUUGCAGUUAAAAAGCUCGUAGUUGAACCUUGGGUCUGGCUGACCGGUCCGCCUCACCGCGAGUACUGGUUCGGCUGGGCCUUUCCUUCUGGGGAACCUCAUGGCCUUCACUGGCUGUGG